This 442-nucleotide ribosomal RNA is filed under the name uncultured bacterium. RNAcentral describes it as "bacterial SSU rRNA". It matches the Rfam family "Bacterial small subunit ribosomal RNA", at positions 26 to 507 of the family's 1533-position model. The record is from RNAcentral.
UGGCUACAGAACGAACGCUGGCGGCAUGCCUAACACAUGCAAGUCGAACGAGACCUUCGGGUCUAGUGGCGCACGGGUGCGUAACGCGUGGGAACCUGCCUUUAGGUUCGGAAUAACUCAGAGAAAUUUGAGCUAAUACCGGAUAAUGUCUUCGGACCAAAGAUUUAUCGCCUUUAGAUGGGCCCGCGUUGGAUUAGCUAGUUGGUGGGGUAAAGGCCUACCAAGGCGACGAUCCAUAGCUGGUCUGAGAGGAUGAUCAGCCACACUGGGACUGAGACACGGCCCAGACUCCUACGGGAGGCAGCAGUGGGGAAUAUUGGACAAUGGGCGAAAGCCUGAUCCAGCAAUGCCGCGUGAGUGAUGAAGGCCUUAGGGUUGUAAAGCUCUUUUACCCGAGAUGAUAAUGACAGUAUCGGGAGAAUAAGCUCCGGCUAACUCCGUG